This 253-nucleotide ribosomal RNA is filed under the name uncultured prokaryote. RNAcentral's name for it is "partial 16S ribosomal RNA". It matches the Rfam family "Bacterial small subunit ribosomal RNA", at positions 525 to 777 of the family's 1533-position model. The record is from RNAcentral.
ACGGGGGGGGCAAGCGUUGUUCGGAAUUACUGGGCGUAAAGGGCUCGUAGGCGGCCAACUAAGUCAGACGUGAAAUCCCCCGGCUUAACCUGGGAACUGCGUCUGAUACUGGGAAGCUAGAGUUCGGGAGAGGGAUGCGGAAUUCCAGGUGUAGCGGUGAAAUGCGUAGAUAUCUGGAGGAACACCGGUGGCGAAGGCGGCAUCCUGGACCGGCAUUGACGCUGAGGCGCGAAAGCCAGGGGAGCAAACGGGA